RNAcentral lists this long non-coding RNA (318 nucleotides) under Androctonus crassicauda. Lineage: Eukaryota; Metazoa; Arthropoda; Arachnida; Scorpiones; Buthidae. The record is from RNAcentral.
AAAGUUUCAUUCACUUCUAUCAACCCCUUCUUGAUGUGUGAAUUUUUUUUUAUAAUGAAUGUAUAUGAAUGUAUUUACUAGCAAUAAAUUCAUCUUCCACAUUACAGUUUGAAGAAAAUCAUCAGAUAGAUGAUCAUGAUCAAUUGACAAGGGAAGUCAUUGGGUCUAGAGUUGAGGAUUCAGUUCAAACUUUGCCAACAAUUAGAGACAGUGAAUGGUUGAAAAUACUGCAAGAAAUUUUUGCUCUUAUGCAUACCCUAGAGCAGUGGUUCUCAACCUUUUUGUAGUGACGGAACACUUUAAGUACUAAUAGAAAAA